GAUGAACGCUGGCGGCGUGCUUAACACAUGCAAGUCGAACGAAGAGCUUUGUUUGUUUUCCUUCGGACCUGAUUAGUUUGUGAGUGAGUGGCGGACGGAUGAGUAACGCGUGGGUAACCUACCUUGUCGAGAGGGCUGACAGUAUGAAACGUCUGCUAAUACCGCAUAAGGGCACAGCAUCACAUGAUGCAGUGUGAAAACCUCCGGUGGGAUACGAUGGACCCUCGUUGGUUUAUCUAGUUGGGGAGGUAACGGCCCACCAAGGCGACGAUCCAUAGCCGAGCAGAGAGGGGGCCCCGCGACAUCGGGACUGAGACACAGCCCACAAUCCUACGCGAGGGAGGAGUGGGUAAUAUAGCACAAUGGGGGAAAGCAUGAUGGAGCGACGCUCGGUGAGCGAAGAUGUAAGGCGGUAAGAAAAGUUCAAGCAGCAGGGAAGAUAAUGACGGUACCUGACUAAGAAGCACCGGCUAACUACGUG
Molecule: ribosomal RNA, 481 nt
Filed under: uncultured bacterium
Lineage: Bacteria
Description: partial 16S ribosomal RNA
Rfam family: Bacterial small subunit ribosomal RNA
Source: RNAcentral